GUCAAUGGUGGCUCAGGCGGGGGCUCCGAAAGGAGCGCCGGAGCCCGUGGUAGCCGGUUACGCCAACCCCGUCUGGGCUACCACCCAC
RNAcentral lists this non-coding RNA (88 nucleotides) under Dickeya dadantii 3937. The record is from RNAcentral. Lineage: Bacteria; Pseudomonadati; Pseudomonadota; Gammaproteobacteria; Enterobacterales; Pectobacteriaceae.